This 68-nucleotide transfer RNA is filed under the name Phytophthora infestans T30-4. Its description in RNAcentral is "tRNA-Ser". The record is from RNAcentral. Lineage: Eukaryota; Oomycota; Peronosporomycetes; Peronosporales; Peronosporaceae.
CCUUUAAGCUCAGUGGUCGAGCGUUGGCUUUGAAAGCCACAGGUCGGUGGCUCGAUCCACGUCCAGGA